UAAUUUGUAAAGGUAUCAACUGAGAGAAGGAAAUUUAGACUAUUUGUUCUGUCCAUGGAACCCUUAUCCCUGUUGCAGAUGUAUGAUCUCAUAUCCCAAAAUUUAAAUUAGGAUCAUGCUAAACACUUGGACACUGUUUCAUCCAACCAGGGGCGGAUUUACUUGUAUAAUAGUGGGGUCAAUUGACCCCACUGAAUUCAUGAAAAUUUUUUAAAAUAUAUACAUGUUAGGAAAAUUCCAUCCAAAAAUUAUAAAAUGACUCACUUAAAAAUAAAUAUCAUUUAACUUUUUUUUAAAAAAUAAUUAUAUAAAGCUGAAGUAUCAUCAAAUAAAAUAAAGUUAGCCUGACUUGGUCCAAUAACUAAAGGCAUGUGCUAGG
Molecule: unclassified non-coding RNA, 379 nt
Filed under: Hevea brasiliensis (rubber tree)
Lineage: Eukaryota; Viridiplantae; Streptophyta; Magnoliopsida; Malpighiales; Euphorbiaceae
Source: RNAcentral